Neltuma alba is the source of this 1778-nucleotide long non-coding RNA. RefSeq lists it as uncharacterized. The transcript has 2 exons. NCBI's taxonomy places the organism in Eukaryota, Viridiplantae, Streptophyta, Magnoliopsida, Fabales, Fabaceae. The record is from RefSeq and is a predicted model, not a curated record.
AAAUUCCCAAAUCGUUCUUCCUUCCUUCAUCCUCCCCAGUUUGGCAGUUUCCAUAUUCGCCGAUGGUGUGUGGGCCGCUAUCCAUCCGUCCGUCCGCCGCCGUCUCUUUACUUUUUGCGAUGACCCUUGUUUUCUUUCUUCUCUUCCUCCUCAACUGAUGCCGUCCUGAGUCAGGGGGAGCCGUGCGUCGCUUUCUUCUCCUCCUCCUUGAUCUUGUGAUGUGCAGGACUGAAGUGUGAGUCUAGGUGAGUCUCACUCCUCUUGCUGUUGCGUUUUGGACUCGUCCGUCUUGCUUGUCUGCGGCUGUGUGUGCAGAUGUAUGGAUUUCAGCCCCUUGUUCCAUUAGUUCUUUGGUUUUUUUAAUCUUCUAGUGGUAAGAUUAAAAUUUUCCGCUUUUAUUGUGGCUGCUUUGGUAGAAUUCUUGAGUUAGGGAGGUGAGGAUUGAAUGGGUCAUUGCUACAAGUUCAGGAAAAAGAAACUUGUUUUGUUAACUUGAAUUUUGAUGCAUGAUAGGUCUUUGAUGAAAUGUUUGAAAGCGAAAAUUAAAAUUUAAGGGGUUAGCAAUAAUUUAUGGCUGCUUGCUUGCCGGUUAAGAUGUUUGGUUGUUGAGUUAAGUUGAAUGCCAAUAAGGUGUUUGACGAACUGCGCGAAAGAAGAAUGAGACUUGGAGAUUUUGUUUAGUUUAGACAUGAGAUUAUGAAAUUUAUUUGGAUUUGUAUUGUAUUAAAAUUUUGAUGAUUGCAAAAGAGAAUUAUGGAAUUUAAUUAUGUGUCAAGUUAAUAAUGUUGAGAAGUUAACAUGUGUCACUGCGUGUUGACGCAAGGGUGCUUGAAGUUGCUUGGCUACUAAUGGAACAAGAAAAUAAAGGUGUUGUUAUUAAUCCUGGAAGCUAUUCGGAUACUUAAGAGUUAUAUGAAUUGUUGAUUGGUUAAGUGUGAUGUUUAUUGUAUGAGUUAAUCUGAGACAUGCAAUCUUGUAGAAGAAUUGAAUUAAAUUAAGAUGGUUAAAUGUUUCUAAAUUGGUUUGUGGACUGGUGUAAAAGAGGAAUUUGGUUCUUGUGCUGUAUUAUUGAGUUGAUUUGGAAAAUCCCUGCGUAAAUUUUUAUUGGAGUAUUAAUAUUGUUGUGUUUGGGAGGAGCGAGCAUGUUGCAAAAUUGUAUGAAUAGAAGUAAAUGGUAUAUUCGGGAAAGUAGAGCCACGAGAAUCAUUUCCUCAGCGUUUCACAAAAAUAUUCCAAACGAUUGCCGUUUAUCCGCAGCGGUGGAGAGAAGCUUAGCCCGAAGCCAUAUGAAGCGCAGGCCAGUCCAUUAGAACAGAGCUUCGAAACGGUUGUCGUGACAUUCUAGGAGAAGGAGAAGCUUCGUAGCUUUAUCGUCAAUGGAGGCACCAUGUUGCCCAUCGAUGGUGGCUUUAGUACGGGGAAAAAAGUUAGUGUAGUUGGAUAAGCUGACACAUUUGAUUAGAAAAGCAAAGAUUUUUGUCCAUGAUUUUGACUUCUUCUUUGGCAUGCGAAGUCAUGUGUCUGAUUAGAAGGCGAUGGUUAUUAAUUGGCUUUAAUCUCCGUCUAUGUUAAUGGCUGCCCCAUUCUUCUUACUCUGUCUAAAUGCAGAUGAUGUUUCAUUUCUUUGUUAGUUUUCUGUAGUAAUUAUGCUUUUGUUUUGAAUUAUAUUUUCCAGUUUCUAGUAAAAAUGUUUUUUAGUUGUGCUAAAAUUUUGCUUUCAAAUGCGUUGGUUUGUUUUUAUCCAGUCAAUGGAUAAGACUAGGGCUGCUUAUUGCUAA